Long non-coding RNA from Sinocyclocheilus grahami, 679 nucleotides. RefSeq lists it as uncharacterized. The transcript is spliced from 3 exons. The record is from RefSeq and is a predicted model, not a curated record. Lineage: Eukaryota; Metazoa; Chordata; Actinopteri; Cypriniformes; Cyprinidae.
CAUACAUUUCUAUCCCAAAAUAAAUGUGACUUUUACAAGUGGUCUCUGGGUGACAGUGAAGGUUCAAUCACAGGCUCAUAGACGUCACUGAACAGAUCACAGCAUAUUCUCUCCUACUGUGCGGCUCUCACUGUGCAUGACUGCCAAGUGCCGUGGAGUUUGAACUCUUAACUGGGCCAGCAGGAGCCGAAAGAUGCAGACAGAUCCAAAGGUUCCAGUCCCUCUCUGUAGGAGUCAAAUCAAUGAGAUGAGGCUGAAUCAAUGAGAUGUCAGUGUUGUCUUAUCAUUGCCUGUUGCAGCUUGAUGAUGAUCUCACAGCUGCAGGUUAUAAUUUGACCAGACAAAAUAAUGGGGAGAAAAAACUUUAGAGAAGACAAAGCUGAGAAAUGAAAACCAACAUCGUUCUGACCGAGAGAAGAUGGUUGCUCACCUCCGAUUUUCCGGAAACCCAUUUCCAAUCUACUAAUCCUGCUCUCGCACAGUAUGAGUCAUCUAACACACGGAGCAGCGCAGCUCCAACUGCAUUCUCUACAGGGCAAGAAGGGCAGGAGUCCGCAUUUAAUUUAGAAUUUCUUGCUGAAAAACUGCUGAUGUAUAUUUCCACCUCCUUACCUCUGCUUUCACCUUCUCAGGUUUAUGAUUCAUACUUCCUGUAAUUUCAGGCUAGGUUUUUGCAUGC